Molecule: ribosomal RNA, 392 nt
Filed under: uncultured bacterium
Lineage: Bacteria
Description: partial 16S ribosomal RNA
Rfam family: Bacterial small subunit ribosomal RNA
Source: RNAcentral
AUACGGAGGAUCCGAGCGUUAUCCGGAUUUAUUGGGUUUAAAGGGUGCGCAGGCGGCCAUUUAAGUCAGCGGUUAAAUCGUGGGGCUCCACCCCAUUCUGCCGUUGAUACUGGGUGGCUUGAUUGCGGUCGAGGUUGGCGGAAUUCGUUGUGUAGCGGCGAAAUGCAUAGAUAUGACGAAGAACACCGAUUGCGUAGGCAGCUGACCAGACCGCAAAUGACGCUCAUGCACGAAAGUGCGGGGAUCGAACAGGAUUAGAUACCCUGGUAGUCCGCACAGUAAACGAUGAAUACUUGUUUUCGGCGAUAUAAUGUCGGAGGCAAAGCGAAAGCGAUAAGUAUUCCACCUGGGGAGUACGCCGGCAACGGUGAAACUCAAAGGAAUUGGCGGGG